CGGACCCUAAAAAGCCCUAAAAA
RNAcentral lists this transfer RNA (23 nucleotides) under Craugastor crassidigitus (slim-fingered rain frog). RNAcentral's name for it is "partial tRNA-Phe". The record is from RNAcentral. Lineage: Eukaryota; Metazoa; Chordata; Amphibia; Anura; Craugastoridae. RNAcentral also lists the same sequence under 1 other name.